This 117-nucleotide ribosomal RNA is filed under the name uncultured eukaryote. Its description in RNAcentral is "partial small subunit ribosomal RNA". The record is from RNAcentral.
GUUGGCUCUACCUUAAGCCGGGGUGCUAACCUUUUAGGAGGCAGCCGACCACGGUAGGGUCAGUGACUGGGGUGAAGUCGUAACAAGGUWKCCGUAGGUGAACCUGCAGAAGGAUCA